Molecule: ribosomal RNA, 253 nt
Filed under: uncultured bacterium
Lineage: Bacteria
Description: partial 16S ribosomal RNA
Rfam family: Bacterial small subunit ribosomal RNA
Source: RNAcentral
UACAGAGGGUGCAAGCGUUAAUCGGAAUUACUGGGCGUAAAGCGCGCGUAGGUGGUUCGUUAAGUUGGAUGUGAAAUCCCCGGGCUCAACCUGGGAACUGCAUUCAAAACUGUCGAGCUAGAGUAUGGUAGAGGGUGGUGGAAUUUCCUGUGUAGCGGUGAAAUGCGUAGAUAUCUGGAGGAACACCGGUGGCGAAGGCGGCAUCCUGGGCCAACACUGACGCUGAUGUGCGAAAGCUAGGGGAGCAAACGGG